AACAAACAAGAAACGAAGCUCAAAUCUAAUGUCCCCUGAAGGCAAUGAGUCAGGCAGAGAGAGUUGCUCACACGGUUAUUUAUCCACUAUGGGGCAUUUUGAGGCUCCACCUACUUCUACGAGUAGACGCACAAGCAGCAUUAUGCUGCCCAUUUAACAACUGACUGCUAUGGACCUUCACACAUUCUUCUUUUGAUCUUUAAAGUUACUUUAAGGUUUUGGAGUUUGCAAAAGAGAACAAAGACGCUGAAAGACAGCUUUCGUGGAGCUACUUCAUGGAGCAAAAUGAAAAACAAACUUGUCCAUAACUGAUGUGAUUGAUUGAGAUCGAACAGAAAAUAGAGGGGCUGUCAGCCAGUCAGCCUCUCAUUUCAUCAAGAGCUUUAUGAGGAA
Long non-coding RNA from Suricata suricatta (meerkat), 393 nucleotides. RefSeq lists it as uncharacterized. The transcript is spliced from 3 exons. Lineage: Eukaryota; Metazoa; Chordata; Mammalia; Carnivora; Herpestidae. The record is from RefSeq and is a predicted model, not a curated record.